This 563-nucleotide ribosomal RNA is filed under the name Cyrtopodion scabrum. RNAcentral's name for it is "partial 16S ribosomal RNA". It matches the Rfam family "Bacterial large subunit ribosomal RNA", at positions 1816 to 2597 of the family's 2925-position model. The record is from RNAcentral. Lineage: Eukaryota; Metazoa; Chordata; Lepidosauria; Squamata; Gekkonidae.
CGCCUUUAGCCACACAAGUAUUAAAGGUCCUGCCUGCCCAGUGAGCAAAAUACUUUAACGGCCGCGGUAUCCUAACCGUGCAAAGGUAGCGUAAUCACUUGCCCCUUAAUUAGGGGCCUGUAUGAACGGCUAACCGAAGGUGCACCUGUCUCCUGAAGCCAUACAAUGAAACUGAGCCCCUAGUACAAACGCUAGGAUUCCCCCAUAAGACGAGAAGACCCUGUGGAGCUUACAACUAACAACGCUAAAACUACCGCGCACAAAGUCUUAAGACCCACACAUAACUAGAUAUUUAGCGCCACCUUUGAGUUGGGGCGACUACGGAACAAAACAAAACUUCCACGAAACAGGACUAACCACCCCCUAUAGGCUAACACGCCAACGAGAACCCCACACAUUGACCCAGUAUUACUGAUUAACGAACCAAGUUACCCCAGGGAUAACAGCGCCAUCCCCUUUAAGAGUCCUUAUCGCCAAGGGGGCUUACGACCUCGAUGUUGGAUCAGGACUUCCAGGUGGUGUAGCAGCUACCAAAGGUUCGUUUGUUCAACGAUUAAUGUCCC